This 331-nucleotide ribosomal RNA is filed under the name uncultured bacterium. RNAcentral's name for it is "bacterial SSU rRNA". It matches the Rfam family "Bacterial small subunit ribosomal RNA", at positions 356 to 679 of the family's 1533-position model. The record is from RNAcentral.
GGGGAAUUUUGGACAAUGGGGGCAACCGUGAUCCANCCAUUCCGCGUGAGUGAAGAAGGCCUUCGGGUUGUAAAGCUCUUUUGUCGGGGUNGAAACGGUUUUGGCUAAUAACCAAGACUACUGACGGUACCCGAAGAAUAAGCACCGGCUAAUUACUUGCCACCAGCCGCGGUAAUAAGUAGGGGGCGACCGUUAUUCGGAAUUNUUGGGCGUAAAGCGUGCGCAGGCGGUUUUUUAAUCCAGAUGUGAAAUCCCCGGGCUCAACCUGGGAAUGGCAUUUGGGACUGCAAGGCUAGAGUAUGGCAGAGGAGACUAGAAUUCCUGGUGUAGC